Molecule: ribosomal RNA, 497 nt
Filed under: uncultured bacterium
Lineage: Bacteria
Description: partial 16S ribosomal RNA
Rfam family: Bacterial small subunit ribosomal RNA
Source: RNAcentral
GAUGAACGCUGGCGGCGCGCCUAAUACAUGCAAGUCGAGCGAACGGACGAGAAGCUUGCUUCUCUGAUGUUAGCGGCGGACGGGUGAGUAACACGUGGAUAACCUACCUAUAAGACUGGGAUAACUUCGGGAAACCGGAGCUAAUACCGGAUAAUAUUUUGAACCGCAUGGUUCAAAAGUGAAAGACGGUCUUGCUGUCACUUAUAGAUGGAUCCGCGCUGCAUUAGCUAGUUGGUAAGGUAACGGCUUACCAAGGCAACGAUGCAUAGCCGACCUGAGAGGGUGAUCGGCCACACUGGAACUGAGACACGGUCCAGACUCCUACGGGAGGCAGCAGUAGGGAAUCUUCCGCAAUGGGCGAAAGCCUGACGGAGCAACGCCGCGUGAGUGAUGAAGGUCUUCGGAUAGUAAAACUCUGUUAUUAGGGAAGAACAUAUGUGUAAGUAACUGUGCACAUCUUGACGGUACCUAAUCAGAAAGCCACGGCUAACUACGUG